GGAGGGAAGCUCGUGGGUGGGGCCGUGAGCUGAGUGGGUUUAGUCACUCUACCCCAUGGCUCAUGGGAAGGUGUGAGACUAGGGCCAAAAUCGGCCCCAACAGGGCCCUCCUUGAGCUUCAGGGAGGUGAGUUCCCGGGGCGGGGGGGGGGGGCGGAAGAUCAGAGUUUGCUAAACAGGGCUCCUCUCAAGGAACCCAGCUCACUGAGUCUACAGGCAUCAGCUGGCCACUGUUGCUUUGCUCUACAGGAGUCAGGUCUUCGGGAACCAGCACAAAUGUUGUUACUCUGGCUGCUGCUAUUGCUGUGAUUAAUAAACUGUUCUUUGUCUCU
Molecule: RNase P RNA, 331 nt
Filed under: Delphinapterus leucas (beluga whale)
Lineage: Eukaryota; Metazoa; Chordata; Mammalia; Artiodactyla; Monodontidae
Description: Nuclear RNase P (ENSDLEG00000004977.1)
Rfam family: Nuclear RNase P
About the family: Ribonuclease P (RNase P) is a ubiquitous endoribonuclease, found in archaea, bacteria and eukarya as well as chloroplasts and mitochondria. Its best characterised activity is the generation of mature 5'-ends of tRNAs by cleaving the 5'-leader elements of precursor-tRNAs. Cellular RNase Ps are ribonucleoproteins.
Source: RNAcentral